Molecule: ribosomal RNA, 471 nt
Filed under: uncultured organism
Description: partial 16S ribosomal RNA
Rfam family: Bacterial small subunit ribosomal RNA
Source: RNAcentral
ACAUCCUGCGGGAGGCAGCAGUGGGGAAUUUUGGACAAUGGGCGAAAGCCUGAUCCAGCAAUGCCGCGUGUGUGAAGAAGGCCUUCGGGUUGUAAAGCACUUUUGUCCGGAAAGAAAUCCUUGGCUCUAAUACAGUCGGGGGAUGACGGUACCGGAAGAAUAAGCACCGGCUAACUACGUGCCAGCAGCCGCGGUAAUACGUAGGGUGCGAGCGUUAAUCGGAAUUACUGGGCGUAAAGCGUGCGCAGGCGGUUUGCUAAGACCGAUGUGAAAUCCCCGGGCUCAACCUGGGAACUGCAUUGGUGACUGGCAGGCUAGAGUAUGGCAGAGGGGGGUAGAAUUCCACGUGUAGCAGUGAAAUGCGUAGAGAUGUGGAGGAAUACCGAUGGCGAAGGCAGCCCCCUGGGCCAAUACUGACGCUCAUGCACGAAAGCGUGGGGAGCAAACAGGAUUAGAAACCCGAGUAGUCCC